GAUGAACGCUGGCGGCGUGCCUAAUACAUGCCAGUCGAGCGAACAGACGAGGAGCUUGCUCCUCUGACGUUAGCGGCGGACGGGUGAGUAACACGUGGAUAACCUACCUAUAAGACUGGGAUAACUUCGGGAAACCGGAGCUAAUACCGGAUAAUAUAUUGAACCGCAUGGUUCAAUAGUGAAAGACGGUUUUGCUGUCACUUAUAGAUGGAUCCGCGCCGCAUUAGCUAGUUGGUAAGGUAACGGCUUACCAAGGCAACGAUGCGUAGCCGACCUGAGAGGGUGAUCGGCCACACUGGAACUGAGACACGGUCCAGACUCCGACGGGAGGCAGCAGUAGGGAAUCUUCCGCAAUGGGCGAAAGCCUGACGGAGCAACGCCGCGUGAGUGAUGAAGGUCUUCGGAUCGUAAAACUCUGUUAUUAGGGAAGAACAAAUGUGUAAGUAACUAUGCACGUCUUGACGGUACCUAAUCAGAAAGCCACGGCUAACUACGU
Molecule: ribosomal RNA, 496 nt
Filed under: uncultured bacterium
Lineage: Bacteria
Description: partial 16S ribosomal RNA
Rfam family: Bacterial small subunit ribosomal RNA
Source: RNAcentral